This is an RNA transcript of Nymphaea colorata (pocket water lily), 2124 nucleotides long. RefSeq lists it as uncharacterized. The transcript has 4 exons. The record is from RefSeq and is a predicted model, not a curated record. NCBI's taxonomy places the organism in Eukaryota, Viridiplantae, Streptophyta, Magnoliopsida, Nymphaeales, Nymphaeaceae.
UUUGCAUCGACGGGUUUCACUGCCCACCGGUGAACCGGAGGGCGUGGCGUGCGCGUAGGGGUCUCGCCAGAUGUAGAGGGUUUAAAGUGGAUUUGCGAUGGGGCCAGCUCCUUCCGUAUUAGGUAGCCGGAAAGCAUCCCAAAGAGCGUGCGCCAUCUCUCCUUCCCGUUUUCUUCUUGAUUUAUGGCGGUUUCUUCUUUCUUGAUUUAUGGCGGUUUCUCGUUCUUCAUAUUAUGGCGCCUAAAAGGGAAAAGCCGUCUGCGUCGUCGAUUACAGAAAGAAAUGUCACCCACGAAGCAGGGCAAUGCUUCUACGUCCGGCGAUGAGAAGAUGGUGUGGCGGCAUUUCAUCGGUGUGGGCGGAAAAGGACCGUCCGCUAUCUCGGUUCUCACUCAUGGCAGGCAAGAUACACUCACUCCCUGCUAUUGUUUGCUGGGCUUGAUACAUCUCUAUCUCUCUCACUUUUGAGGGCGUCCGUUCGCGUCCUCCUUUGGCCGGCAGCCAUCGCCGGUGUGUGAUGAUUGUUCGAAGCCCUCUCCACCCUUCAAUUGUCUUUGUUUGUUGUUUCCUAUUGGGGUUUCUCUAUAGUCCGUGGGGUUUAUCAUUUCAGGCUGGGGUCCUUCAUUUAGGCACUGGGCUGGGGUUUUCUUUGAGGUUUUGGUUGGGUUCUUCCGUUGAGGUUGUUGCUGGUUUUUAACAUUUGGUUCGCCAUUGGGUCGGAUGCUUUGGUCACCACUUGGGUCGCCGCUUUCGCUUUUGGUUAGUCCACCGCUUGGGUCCCUGCUGGUUCGGUUGUGGGUCACCGCUUAGGUCGUUGCUGUCGUUCUUACUGGGUCUACCGCCUUCCGUCGUCCCUUAGGUUGCUGUUGGGUCUGCCACUUGUGUCACUCUUGACAUCUGUCGCUUGGGCAUGCCGUUUUGUUGAUCUUGCUGCUGAGUCGCGACAACCGCUUCAGAUUGCUGCUAGAUCGCCAUUAUCGUCUUUGGGUUUGUUGCUGGGCCGUCACUGUCGAGAUGACUGCUGGGUGCUAUGAUUAUUGUUGUGCAUUCAUCGCAUCUAGCGUGCGGCUAUUCAAAUUCCAACCAGCCCGUCCACAGAGAUUGGGUGUUUUGUCAGCUUUGAACAUUAAAUUUCUCAUGGAUGGGGAAGGUGGGCAUUCAAGCUGUUGGGCAUUCUGCAACAUGCCUGAUACUCACGAUUUACUGCCUCAUUUCUGUUUGGUUUGUUGGUGGUCUCACUGCAUAAUAGUGCCAACCAGGGAAAGGUGAACGGUGGUUGUUGUUGGAUUGAUCGUGCGCGCUUUUGCUGUGAGGGACAUCUCAGGAACCUCAAAAGCAUUGCUGAAUGAUCAGGUUCAAUACCACAGUCAUCCAAGAUUUCAAGCAUCAAACUGAGGUCAAUUCCUCAAAACAUUUUCUGUGCAAUCAUAUUACGAGAAACACCCGCAGAAAAUCCCAUGUUCGACAUGAAUUCCUCCAAGCGCUUUGCAUUUGUCAGGUAGAGGUCGCCAUCGAAAUUACUUGUGCAUUGAUCCAAGCUGUUACAUUUUGGAUUAUCACAUACCCUUCAGUUGGUUAUUACUGGUCUGCUUAUAAGAUCUUAUGGUACAUCUUUUUGCUAUUUUCUAUGCUCAUCUUGGGAUGCUGGUGGUCUCAUUAACUCCAAACGCUCAAAUUGCUGCUAUCCUGCAAUCUGUUAUGUACUCUAGGAAGUAGUCAUUCAGAGUUGCAUCGUAUUCAAUGCAUCCAACAUCUACUCAGAGUACCCAACCUAGUGAUAAUCAAAGGACAUGCUUUCACUAAACUCAUUUUAGGUGGCAGAUCACUCUUGAUCCAAGGAAUGAGCUAAAAGACAUUUCUAACCCAUGCAUGAUGGGUGAAGCAAUUAAGAUGUGGUAGGGUAAAAAAGGCUGCUCCUUGAUGCUUGUAGAAGAUCAUCUGAAACCUCAUCACAUCAGGCAAACAAUCGCAUACUGAGAAUAGCCUCACAUCAGGCAAACCCUUCAUGACUAAUGUUUAUCUGACUAAUUACACAAGUAACUAAUUAACCUCGGAUGUGACCUUUAAGAAAGAAAAUAGUUAUGGGAUUGUGCUAAUAUUCACUAAUGAGUUUAACUCUUUUCU